RNAcentral lists this ribosomal RNA (490 nucleotides) under uncultured bacterium. Its description in RNAcentral is "partial 16S ribosomal RNA". It matches the Rfam family "Bacterial small subunit ribosomal RNA", at positions 30 to 507 of the family's 1533-position model. The record is from RNAcentral.
AUUGAACGCUGGCGGCUGGCCUAACACAUGCAAGUCGAACGGUAACAGGGAUCAGCUUGCUGAUUCGCUGACGAGUGGCGGACGGGUGAGUAAUGUCUGGGAAACUGCCUGAUGGAGGGGGAUAACUACUGGAAACGGUAGCUAAUACCGCAUAACGUCGCAAGACCAAAGAGGGGGACCUUCGGGCCUCUUGCCAUCGGAUGUGCCCAGAUGGGAUUAGCUAGUAGGUGGGGUAACGGCUCACCUAGGCGACGAUCCCUAGCUGGUCUGAGAGGAUGACCAGCCACACUGGAACUGAGACACGGUCCAGACUCCUACGGGAGGCAGCAGUGGGGAAUAUUGCACAAUGGGCGCAAGCCUGAUGCAGCCAUGCCGCGUGUAUGAAGAAGGCCUUCGGGUUGUAAAGUACUUUCAGCGGGGAGGAAGGGAGUAAAGUUAAUACCUUUGCUCAUUGACGUUACCCGCAGAAGAAGCACCGGCUAACUCCGUG